AGAAUUACCAAAUAAAUACAUAUGUACUUCUAUUUCUCAAAUUGGUUUCCGAAAAUGAACCGGGAAAGGACUUUCUGGUUGUUCACAAAGUAAAAUCCAAUCGCCCGCCAAUUGCCUGGAAAAGUUGAAAAUAUUGCUAAAUCUGACAGCACCUUUACGUAUAGGUAUCGAAAGCGGAAUGACAAGAGGAAAUAGAAAAGUGAAGAAGUUGCCGGAGUAGAAGCAGAAAAAGCAACGAAUUGUGUAUAGUUGUUUAACAGAUUUAACUAAUUUAUCCCAAAAGGUACUAUAUUAUUAAAUGCUUCACAACUGAAAUAAUAAGUAUUGGCGAACCCCUGAAGUCAAAAGUCAACAUCAAAGAAUAAGUGGAAAUGUCGAAUAAUAACCCGCAUGGACACAUCACCCAACCGACGCAAAAUCCUUCAUG
Rhagoletis pomonella (apple maggot) is the source of this 427-nucleotide long non-coding RNA. RefSeq lists it as uncharacterized. NCBI's taxonomy places the organism in Eukaryota, Metazoa, Arthropoda, Insecta, Diptera, Tephritidae. The transcript has 2 exons. The record is from RefSeq and is a predicted model, not a curated record.